UAAAAGAAAAGGUUUAUCCAGUGGACUGA
Molecule: non-coding RNA, 29 nt
Filed under: Rattus norvegicus (Norway rat)
Lineage: Eukaryota; Metazoa; Chordata; Mammalia; Rodentia; Muridae
Source: RNAcentral